Molecule: long non-coding RNA, 445 nt
Organism: Homo sapiens (human)
Lineage: Eukaryota; Metazoa; Chordata; Mammalia; Primates; Hominidae
Source: Ensembl
CUUUCAGUACCAGGAUUCUUUGGGCGGUGAGUGCCAGAGGGCCCCAGUCACCCAGAACCCCCACCCCGAGUCAAAGCGCUGAAAUGAGCCCCGCGGCAGGGGCCGUGUUCAUUACCUUUGAAAAUGCUCAGUUCUUCUUCGGUCCAGGGCGGGGCAGAAGGGAGGAUGCAGAGGGAGAAACAGGAUGAACUCAAACACAGGAGAUAGGAGAUGAUUUGGAUGAAGUGAUAAAGAAAAGGCUUCACUCCAAGAAAAAAAAGAAAAAGAAAAGAAAAUGAAAAGACCUGCAGGAGCAAGAAGCCCUUUCCAGGGUGUGCUUAUGAGGAAGAAGGGAAUUAUGGUGAUAGCUACCACUUAAGCACUUACCUUGUUCCAGGUGCAAUAACGGUGUUUUACAGGCAUUAUUUUAUUUAGUCCCCCAAAAUAAAGCUAUUACGUACCUUUU